RNAcentral lists this non-coding RNA (302 nucleotides) under Streptomyces afghaniensis 772. RNAcentral's name for it is "Bacterial large subunit ribosomal RNA". It matches the Rfam family "Bacterial large subunit ribosomal RNA", at positions 2626 to 2925 of the family's 2925-position model. Lineage: Bacteria; Bacillati; Actinomycetota; Actinomycetes; Kitasatosporales; Streptomycetaceae. The record is from Rfam by way of RNAcentral.
ACAGUUCGGUCCCUAUCCGCUGUGCGCGUAGGAGUCUUGAGAAGGGCUGUCCCUAGUACGAGAGGACCGGGACGGACGAACCUCUGGUGUGCCAGUUGUUCUGCCAAGGGCAUGGCUGGUUGGCUACGUUCGGGAGGGAUAACCGCUGAAAGCAUCUAAGCGGGAAGCCUGCUUCGAGAUGAGGACUCCCACCUCCUAGAGAGGGUAAGGCUCCCAGUAGACGACUGGGUUGAUAGGCCGGAUAUGGAAGCACGGUAACGUGUGGAGUUGACCGGUACUAAGUAGGCCGAGGGCUUGUCCUC